GGCCCAAACAAGAAACGACCAAGACCACCCUGUCGUCCAGCUAGGGUUUGCUCAGCUCCCACCCCACCGGCAAAAUCUUUCCCGCCAUUUCGUUCGCCCACUUCCCGCCACCUCUCCUCGAUCUGCUCCCAAAUCCCUCGCCUUUCUCCUCCGAUCCCCAUCCCGCUGAAUCGCCGCCCCCACCCCCCGACUGCCCCCGACUGCCUAGCGAACGAGCGAGCGGCGGCGAUGGAGGAGGAGAUCCGUGCGGAGCUCGAGCGCAGCGGCUUCUCCCUCGGCGGCGCCAGCCCCGCGGACGCCGCCCAGAUCCUCGCCACACUGCUGACCUACUGCAUCAACUACAAGAUGAGCCCGGCGGACCUCGUCUCCAACUGGGAGGUCUACUACCUCAAUAGGCAAUUGGAUGGCCUAAAGCUUGAAAGCUCGUAUCUGGAUGGUUUUCUUUCACAUCUGCAAAAUGAAGUAAAAGACAGGCUCAUAAAAGAAGAGGCGAACCUUCACAUUUACUCCAGUAACGAUGUUGACAUGCUCUUGAGCAGUACACACACAGAUGAAGAGGGAUUCCUAGACACACCAGGCACUAAACAGGAAAAGCCACAUGGAGAGUCAUCUAACUCUGUGUUAACCCCUCUAGCAACCGAUAAACCAUCAUCCAGCAGAAUGGCCAAAACAAAUGGUGAUCGUAUUACCCCUUUCGCGACACGGGUAAAUAAAUUUACUCAACAGUACAUUCUGCAUGCUGAUAAUGUGGCUAGUGUGCCAAAUAAACUUGAGGUUGGGACCACUGAAGAUGAAGUAAUUAGAAGAAUUCAACCAAGCCAAAGAUGUUCCUUGCAAGUUCAACGCUCGCAGCCUGAACCAGGUUGUAGGUUCAUGUAUGACAGAAUGGAAGACAGAUUUAAUUACUUGGAAGAUCGGAUAAGAAAGUUGGCAAGCUUGUUUUCUGCAUCUGGCUUUUGUGGAGAACCUGCUGAUGCUACCCUUGCUUCAGAGGAGAAAAUGUUUGCAGUUGGCAUGGUGGUCUGUGAUGGGGAAGGUCGUUUGAAUGAAAAAUCUAUCUUGUUACAGGGCAGUGUUGUGCAUUCCAGGGGACAGCGUGUGCGCCUUGACUUGAAGGAUCUUGAUCACUUCUCUUUGUUUCCUGGGCAGGUGGUGGGUAUUGAAGGCCACAAUCCUAGUGGACACUGUUUUGUUGCAUCAAAGUUGAUCGAUUCCAUACCGAUCUCUGUGGAUGCUCAACUGCCUAGUGCUAAGAAACAAGCUGUUGACAGUGAAAGCCACCAAAAUUCUGACACAGACACUCUAUCAGGAGUGCUGUCAUUGGUCAUCGCGGCAGGUCCCUAUACAACAACCGAUAAUCUGUUGUUUGAGCCGUUGCAAGAACUUCUUUCGUAUGCCUGUCGGAAGCUGCCUCAACUGCUCAUACUGAUGGGACCCUUUAUUGACUCUGAUCAUCCUGACAUAAAAAAGGGAACUGUUGACCAGAGCUUUCAUGAUAUUUUCCAUUUUGAAAUUCUGAGAAAGGUUCAAGACUUUACCCAGUAUUUGGGAAACACUGUUCGUGUUAUUCUUAUUCCAUCCGUGCGUGAUGCUCACCAUGACUUUGUUUUCCCUCAGCCUGCAUUUGACUUGAAUUUGCCAGAAGAUGCCACACACCAGAUUACUUGUCUGGCAAAUCCAAGUCUAUUCAGUUCUAACGAGAUACAUUUUGGCUGUUGUACAGUGGACAUCCUGAAACAGCUCAGUGGCGAGGAAAUUUCUCGCAAGCCACCUGGCGGAAAGCCUAGCGACAGGAUUGGGAGGCUCGCAACACACAUAUUGAAGCAACAGAGCUACUAUCCUCUAUAUCCUCCUGCUGCUGGUGUGCCAUUGGACUUCUCACUUGCUAAGGAAGCACUGGAUAUCUCAUCAGCUCCGGAUGUUCUCCUGCUUCCUUCCGAUCUUGCUCCAUUUGUGAAGGUGCUUCCCCUUGACGAAGGUAGUGAAGACCAGAAACGGUUUAUUUGUGUGAAUCCCGGGAGGUUGGCAAAGGGUAUCGGUGGAGGCACGUUUGUGGAGCUUUACUACAAUGAGAACACCGACAAGACGAAUGCCUCCAUUAUCCGCAUAUAGUUUUACUGCCGCAGCGUAUCACCUAACAUUAGAAGACCCUGUGAUUCAUCCGCUGUUGACAAUUAACCAGAGGCUUCUGCUCUUGUGUACCACACCACUAGCCACCCAAAAAGGAAGGAUUGAGCUUUUCAGAUAUCUUUUGUGGGAUGCUUCUAGGUGCAUUACUCUUUGUGUGACGCUGCCUUGUUUGAUCUGAGAAUGACCUCUUCAUUUAUCUAUAAAGAGUGUUGGUGCGUGACGAAAUGUGGAUCCAGCGUCGCGUCCACCAAUGUCACAUGUUCUCUGGAGUCUGGACCCACUUUUUUUGCCAGUUUUUUUGGCUUGUCUUCUAGCCGUCACAUUUCUGGUCUCAGGAAAAGGUCAUAUUGUGGCUUUCGUCAUAUGCAGACAACUUUGCAAACAUAUUGGCUUCCAUGUUUGCAGCGGAUAAGGAUUAUGUUGUGAGACACGGCUUUUAUUGGCAUUACCUGUUAGGCAAAAAGUUGCCUUGUAGUGGAUGCUUAGGCGGAGUUAGGUAUGAAACCCUACAGGACCACCAAUUCAUAUGCUCGUAAACUUGAAAUCAGUGCUCUGAUUGAGCCGUUCCUUCUGAAAUUUAUGCGUUCCAAAUAGACCCUUG
This is an RNA transcript of Phragmites australis (common reed), 2731 nucleotides long. RefSeq lists it as uncharacterized. NCBI's taxonomy places the organism in Eukaryota, Viridiplantae, Streptophyta, Magnoliopsida, Poales, Poaceae. The transcript is spliced from 17 exons. The record is from RefSeq and is a predicted model, not a curated record.